This 253-nucleotide ribosomal RNA is filed under the name uncultured bacterium. RNAcentral's name for it is "partial 16S ribosomal RNA". It matches the Rfam family "Bacterial small subunit ribosomal RNA", at positions 524 to 776 of the family's 1533-position model. The record is from RNAcentral.
CACGUAGGGUGCGAGCGUUGUCCGGAAUUAUUGGGCGUAAAGGGUAGGUAGGUGGUCUCGUUUGUCUGGGGUGAAAGCCUUGAGCUUAACUCAAGAAGUGCCCUAGAAACGGCGAGACUAGAGUCCUGGAGAGGGUCGUGGAAUUCCCGGUGUAGCGGUGAAAUGCGUAGAGAUCGGGAGGAACACCAGAGGCGAAGGCGGCGACCUGGACAGGUACUGACACUCAACUACGAAAGCGUGGGGAGCAAACAGG